Molecule: long non-coding RNA, 927 nt
Organism: Amphiprion ocellaris (clown anemonefish)
Lineage: Eukaryota; Metazoa; Chordata; Actinopteri; Pomacentridae
Source: Ensembl
GUAUGAUAGUGAGAGGAGCUGAGACAGUAGCAGAGCGAACCAGAGGCAGGGACGAGGCGGUGAAGGAGCAGCUCUCCUCCUGAGCCUCCAUCCCAGAGAAGACAGAGCGGCAGCAGAGUCCCUCCUCGGCUCAACGCUUCAUCCCCCUGCAGCUUCUGAAGUUCACACCGAGACGCCCGUCGUGAGGUCAAAAGAACACGAUGUACUGAGAGUGUGAGCUGUGACUGAACCUGCCAAGACUGACUGUCCUGAACACACAGAGACACGAGGAGGGCUGAGAGAGGAUUCGAUCCUCGACCAGCGGGGGUCCAUGGGAAUCUAAAGGUGGGGAAUCAACCACCGUGGCAUUGAUGGGAAACAGCCUGCAUUAUUUAAAACAGCAUAUAAAGGCAAAGUUGUGUUUCAAUAGAUUGCUGCCAUCCUCAAUUGUGCCUGAGGGUGUGUGUGCGCCUUUUUCCUGUGCUGCAAAACCUCACAUUUUCCAAAAUGUCAGAAUGAUCGGUGAAAUAAGCCAGCACAGCCUCAUUUUCAUUUUGACAGCUGUGUAGUUUUUUGGGGUUUUUUUUAUUCUGUAAAUUAUGCAAUGGCUUUCAUGAAUCCUCGAGUUUUACAAGGUCACACAAUCCUCCGGUUCAGGUAAAAAAAAACAACAUGGAAAUCAUCAACAUCGCCAUAAUGGAUUUUUUCAUCUGACAGCUGCAAUAAUGUAGCAUGCUUGUGUACAGUAGAUUUAACAUAUGAGUGUUGUGCUACUUUAUCUACACCCCCACAGGCUACACUUUGAUUUUCCUGUAAUAAAUAAUGCUCUUUUGUGUUCUGUGCUUCAUUUGUUCCCUGUUGUAACCUCAGAGCUGCUCAAUAAAUUAUGAAUUACGCCAGUUCAACCUGCUGCGUAUCUCUUGUUUCAUUUGUCUGUCAAACUUCUGG